Molecule: non-coding RNA, 446 nt
Organism: Myodes glareolus (Bank vole)
Lineage: Eukaryota; Metazoa; Chordata; Mammalia; Rodentia; Cricetidae
Source: RefSeq, a predicted model, not a curated record
AUGGCGCCCAUGAAAAAGCUUGUGGCGAAGGGGGGCAAAAAAAGAAGCAGGUUUUGAAGUUCACCCUCGAUUGCACCCACCCUGUAGAAGAUGGGAUCAUGGACGCUGCUAAUUUCGAGCAGUUCCUCUAGGAGAGAAUCAAGGUGAAUGGCAAAGCUGGGAAUCUCAGCGGAGGGGUUGUGACCAUCGAACAGAGCAAGAGCAAGAUCACUGUCACUUCCGAGGUGCCUUUCUCCAAAAGGUAUUUGAAAUAUCUCACCAAAAAAUAUUUGAAGAAGAACAAUCUCCGAGACUGGUUGCGUGUUGUCGCCAACAGCAAAGAGAGCUAUGAGCUGCGUUACUUCCAGAUUAACCAAGAUGAAGAGGAGCAGGAGGAUGAGGAUUAAGACACAUUGGUCUGGAAUGUUUUGUAUUAAUUCAUAAAUAAAAUUUAGGAACAAAAAAAA